Molecule: microRNA, 21 nt
Filed under: Xenopus tropicalis (tropical clawed frog)
Lineage: Eukaryota; Metazoa; Chordata; Amphibia; Anura; Pipidae
Description: Xtr-Mir-133-P4-v2_5p* (star (passenger))
Source: RNAcentral
GCUGGUGAAAAGGAACCACAU